UACGUAGGGGGCAAGCGUUGUCCGGAAUCAUUGGGCGUAAAGCGCGUGUAGGCGGUUCAGCAAGUCUGCUGUGAAAGUCCAGGGCUCAACCCUGGGAUGCCGGUGGAUACUGCUGGGCUAGAGUACGGAAGAGGCGAGUGGAAUUCCCGGUGUAGCGGUGAAAUGCGCAGAUAUCGGGAGGAACACCAAUUGCGAAGGCAGCUCGCUGGGACGUUACUGACGCUGAGACGCGAAAGCGUGGGGAGCAAACAGG
Molecule: ribosomal RNA, 253 nt
Filed under: uncultured bacterium
Lineage: Bacteria
Description: partial 16S ribosomal RNA
Rfam family: Bacterial small subunit ribosomal RNA
Source: RNAcentral